UACGUAGGGUGCAAGCGUUGUCCGGAAUUAUUGGGCGUAAAGAGCUCGUAGGCGGUUUGUCGCGUCUGCUGUGAAAACGCGAGGCUCAACCUCGCGCCUGCAGUGGGUACGGGCAGGCUAGAGUUCGGUAGGGGAGACUGGAAUUCCUGGUGUAGCGGUGAAAUGCGCAGAUAUCAGGAGGAACACCGAUGGCGAAGGCAGGUCUCUGGGCCGAUACUGACGCUGAGGAGCGAAAGCGUGGGGAGCGAACAGG
Molecule: ribosomal RNA, 253 nt
Filed under: uncultured bacterium
Lineage: Bacteria
Description: partial 16S ribosomal RNA
Rfam family: Bacterial small subunit ribosomal RNA
Source: RNAcentral